GGGCGAUUAGCUCAGUUGGUUAGAGCGUCUGGUUUACACCCAGAAGGUUUCGGGGGUUCGAGCCCCUCAUCGCCCA
RNAcentral lists this transfer RNA (76 nucleotides) under Planctomycetaceae bacterium. RNAcentral's name for it is "tRNA-Val". It matches the Rfam family "tRNA". Rfam says of the family: Transfer RNA (tRNA) molecules are approximately 80 nucleotides in length. The record is from RNAcentral. Lineage: Bacteria; Pseudomonadati; Planctomycetota; Planctomycetia; Planctomycetales; Planctomycetaceae.